GUCCAGACUCCUACGGGAGGCAGCAGUGGGGAAUAUUGCACAAUGGGGGAAACCCUGAUGCAGCGACGCCGCGUGAGUGAAGAAGUAUUUCGGUAUGUAAAGCUCUAUCAGCAGGAAAGAAAAUGACGGUACCUGACUAAGAAGCCCCGGCUAACUACGUGCCAGCAGCCGCGGUAAUACGUAGGGGGCGAGCGUUAUCCGGAUUCACUGGGUGUAAAGGGAGCGUAGACGGCCAUGCAAGCCAGGGGUGAAAGCCCGGGGCCCAACCCCGGGACUGCCCUUGGAACUGCAUGGCUGGAGUGCGGGAGGGGCAGGCGGAAUUCCUAGUGUAGCGGUGAAAUGCGUAGAUAUUAGGAGGAACACCAGUGGCGAAGGCGACUUUCUGGACUGUACCUGACGCUGAGGCGCGAAAGCGUGGGUAGCGAACGGGAUUAGAUACCCCAGUA
This 446-nucleotide ribosomal RNA is filed under the name uncultured bacterium. RNAcentral's name for it is "partial 16S ribosomal RNA". It matches the Rfam family "Bacterial small subunit ribosomal RNA", at positions 329 to 792 of the family's 1533-position model. The record is from RNAcentral.